RNAcentral lists this long non-coding RNA (318 nucleotides) under Spirodela polyrhiza (greater duckweed). RNAcentral describes it as "long non-coding RNA (SPOL_LNC001844)". Lineage: Eukaryota; Viridiplantae; Streptophyta; Magnoliopsida; Alismatales; Araceae. The record is from RNAcentral.
CAUCCAUCGCAUCGCAUGCAAACUUUCCAACAUCCACAGUCCCCUUCUCUCUCUCUCUCUCUCUCUCUCUCUCUCUCUCUCUCUCUCUCUAUGUUUCCGGUCAAAAGCUGAGAGAAGAACAAUGACCGACGUUAGCAUUCGACGACUCUCCCUCGCAGUCUCCAGUUUCUUCAUCAUCGUACGAGUCAAAACGACCGCAUUAGGCGGGCCAGAAGCAGGCGGAGUCACCAGUCUGCAAAGACCGCGAUCUCCAGCCGGAGAAAGACGGUGGUCGCCGGCGGAGCACGGCCAGGGGUGGCGGCGGACCCCGGCGGCGCU